This 234-nucleotide long non-coding RNA is filed under the name Brassica napus (rape). RNAcentral's name for it is "long non-coding RNA (BNAP_LNC017646)". Lineage: Eukaryota; Viridiplantae; Streptophyta; Magnoliopsida; Brassicales; Brassicaceae. The record is from RNAcentral.
GUGUGUAAAUAGAGUAAGAGGGAGGAUGAAGAUAUGAAGUGAAUGAAGAGGAAGAGGAGUGCUUGUAUUUAUAGUUUAAAUCCUGCCGACAUACCGAGGAAAUUCCGAUGGAAUUCCGACGGACAAAACUAGUUCGUCGGAAUUUCCUCGGAAUUUUGUAAAAUCCCCCAACGGCUCUCCAACGGCUAUAAUAUUUCCUCGGAAUUCAUCGGUUUUUUCCGAGGAACACAGUUU